Molecule: ribosomal RNA, 424 nt
Filed under: uncultured bacterium
Lineage: Bacteria
Description: bacterial SSU rRNA
Rfam family: Bacterial small subunit ribosomal RNA
Source: RNAcentral
GGGGAAUUUUGGACAAUGGGCGAAAGCCUGAUCCAGCCAUGCCGCGUGCAGGAUGAAGGCCUUCGGGUUGUAAACUGCUUUUGUACGGAACGAAAAAGUCUUCUCUAAUACAGGGGCGAAUGACGGUACCGUAAGAAUAAGCACCGGCUAACUACGUGCCAGCAGCCGCGGUAAUACGUAGGGUGCAAGCGUUAAUCGGAAUUACUGGGCGUAAAGCGUGCGCAGGCGGUUAUAUAAGACAGAUGUGAAAUCCCCGGGCUCAACCUGGGAACUGCAUUAGUGACUGUAUAGCUAGAGUGCGGCAGAGGGGGAUGGAAUUCCGCGUGUAGCAGUGAAAUGCGUAGAUAUGCGGAGGAACACCGAUGGCGAAGGCAAUCCCCUGGGCCUGCACUGACGCUCAUGCACGAAAGCGUGGGGGGCAAAC